RNAcentral lists this ribosomal RNA (497 nucleotides) under uncultured bacterium. RNAcentral's name for it is "partial 16S ribosomal RNA". It matches the Rfam family "Bacterial small subunit ribosomal RNA", at positions 28 to 507 of the family's 1533-position model. The record is from RNAcentral.
GAUGAACGCUGGCGGCGUGCUUAAUACAUGCAAGUCGAGCGGACGGACGCGACGCUUGCUUCUUUGAUGUUUGCGGAAGGCGGGUGAGAAACACGUGUAUAACCUCCUUAUAAUUGUGGGAUCACUUCGGGACACCGGCUCUUACACCGGAUAAUCUCUUGCACCGCAUGGUUCAUAAGUGAAAGUCGGUCUUGCUGUAUCUUAUCGAUGGUUCCGCGCUGCAUUAGCUAGUUGUUAAGGUCCCGGCCUACCAAGGCUACGAUGCGUAGCCGACCGGAGAGGGUGAUCAGCCGCCCUGGAACGGAGACACGGUCCAGACGCCUACGGGAGGCAGCAGGAGGGAAUCUUCAGCAAUGGGCGAAAGCCUGACGGAGCAACGCCGCGUGAGUAAUGAGGAUCUUCGGAUCGUAGAACUCUGUUAUUAGGGAAGAACAUAUGUGUAAGUAACUGUGCACGUCUUGACGGUACCUAAGCAGAAAGCCACGGCUAACUACGUU